GAUGAACGCUGGCGGCGUGCCUAAUACAUGCAAGUCGAGCGAACGGACGAGAAGCUUGCUUCUCUGAUGUUAGCGGCGGACGGGUGAGUAACACGUGGAUAACCUACCUAUAAGACUGGGAUAACUUCGGGAAACCGGAGCUAAUACCGGAUAAUAUUUUGAACCGCAUGGUUCAAAAGUGAAAGACGGUCUUGCUGUCACUUAUAGAUGGAUCCGCGCUGCAUUAGCUAGUUGGUAAGGUAACGGCUUACCAAGGCAACGAUGCAUAGCCGACCUGAGAGGGUGAUCGGCCACACUGGAACUGAGACACGGUCCAGACUCCUACGGGAGGCAGCAGUAGGGAAUCUUCCGCAAUGGGCGAAAGCCUGACGGAGCAACGCCGCGUGAGUGAUGAAGGUCUUCGGAUCGUAAAACUCUGUUAUUAGGGAAGAACAUAUGCGUAAGUAACUGUGCACAUCUUGACGGUACCUAAUUAGAAAGCCACGGCUAACUACGUG
This 497-nucleotide ribosomal RNA is filed under the name uncultured bacterium. Its description in RNAcentral is "partial 16S ribosomal RNA". It matches the Rfam family "Bacterial small subunit ribosomal RNA", at positions 28 to 507 of the family's 1533-position model. The record is from RNAcentral.